This 577-nucleotide ribosomal RNA is filed under the name uncultured bacterium. RNAcentral's name for it is "bacterial SSU rRNA". It matches the Rfam family "Bacterial small subunit ribosomal RNA", at positions 9 to 583 of the family's 1533-position model. The record is from RNAcentral.
GAGUUUGAUCCUGGCUCAGAUUGAACGCUGGCGGCAGGCUUAACACAUGCAAGUCGAGCGGUAACAGAUCUAGCUUGCUAGAUGCUGACGAGCGGCGGACGGGUGAGUAACGCGUAGGAACCUGCCCAGUAGUGGGGGAUAGCCCGGUGAAAACCGGAUUAAUACCGCAUACGCUCUACGGAGGAAAGGGGGCUUCGGCUCUCGCUAUUGGAUGGGCCUGCGUGAGAUUAGCUAGUUGGUGAGGUAAUGGCUCACCAAGGCGACGAUCUCUAGCUGGUCUGAGAGGAUGAUCAGCCACACUGGGACUGAGACACGGCCCAGACUCCUACGGGAGGCAGCAGUGGGGAAUAUUGCACAAUGGGCGCAAGCCUGAUGCAGCCAUGCCGCGUGUGUGAAGAAGGCUUUCGGGUUGUAAAGCACUUUCAGUUGUGAGGAAAAGUUAGUCGUUAAUACCGGCUAGCCUUGACGUUAGCAACAGAAGAAGCACCGGCUAACUCAGUGCCAGCAGCCGCGGUAAUACUGAGGGUGCAAGCGUUAAUCGGAAUUACUGGGCGUAAAGCGCGCGUAAGCGGCUUGU